GAUGUGCUUUCAACUUUCAGUCAUGCUCAUCUUCUGUUUGCCUUAAAAAAAAAAAAAGUGAUUUGGCAAUGGAAAAUGUAAUGAAGACCAAGUAAAUGAGUAUUUGAAGAUAUAUUGCUGAAGUAGCUUAAUUUGACUUUGAAUAUUUUCAAAUCUUUCAGUUGAGAGACUCUCAUCUCUUAAUAGACAGAGACACAGAUUAUUGGAUUGAACAUAAGCUUAUCCAUAUAAUUUUCAUUCUAUUAGAAAUUAAAAUGAUUAAGCAUUUUACAUGUAACUAGUUGUAUAUGUACAUAAAUAUGAAAGUGUGUUUGUUUUAUCCAUGCUGGCAAUCACUGACAUUGACUUAUGUAGAGAGAGUUGAUAUGUAAAAAGCACUGUUAAAUUUUUACCUGAAAAACUAUGAGAUUUGAGGCAUUAUUUUUUUCAACGGGACUACCAAAAAGCUCUAAAAAAUGUCUGUGCCUUACAGUUCUGUAUUUAACCUCCAGAUUGGCAAUAAGAGACUUGUAAGCUCAUAUAUGGGGUCUGCAUAGUGUUAAUGUCUGAGAUUUAUUUUCCCCCAAAGGUUCAUAAACAGUAUUGACAAAUAUAUCACACAUUGCAAUUUUGACGUGGUCAUAAUGUAGCAUGGGAGGUUUGAAAGGUUUAAAUAAACAUCUAAAUUGAAUUUGUUAGCUCUUCUGCAUCAAGAGUCCUGUUAGUCACUAGCAUCUAUGUAUUUUUAUCAAGGAUUUUCCAUAAACUAACAAUACAUGUCUCUUCUAAAGAACUGAGUAAGAAAGCUAUUGCAAAAUAAACCCUGAAUUCCUGUCUUUUCUGCCAUUGAUCAGUAGACUUCUCCAUUUAAGGAGUCACAUCUAUUUUCAAGCAUUAAAAUACACUUUAUUUUCCUAAAAUAUGCAGUUUCUAAAUGACUUCCUAGAGCCCAUUUAAUUUGGGACUCGUUAAUUUUGCAAAGUUAUUUACUUGUUGACAUUUUCUUUUACUGUCAAGGAUUAUCAAUUUGAGCUAGUCUUUUUGUUUUGUAUACAUGCUUCCUGCUUUAGGUUAAAAAUAAUGGAGAUCCAGUUUUGUCAUUUAUUUGUUGAGAAAUAAUUAGCAUCAGCUAUGGCCAGCAAUAAGGAUUGAUAAGAUAAGGUCAUUUUCUUUAGAGAUCUUACCUUUCAGUAAGUAAGAUAAUCAUAGAUACAGAUAAUUAUGAUAUGAGGUAGUGCUAUAUAGAAGUACUAUGUAAUCAAGUGCAGUAGGACAGUGGAGGGAAAAUGUUUCAUGAUGCAUCAUGUAACACUCUUCCCAAUCAGUGGCCCAAUCAGUGGUGCAAAAUGCAGAAAUAAUUGUUGAAGAUGUGUGUGGGAAGAGAGAAAUAUGUGAAAACAGUUAAGUCUCUUAGAAAAGGUUUCAAUAACAACUUUUUAUUCUAUAGAAUUAUGAUUUUUUAUCCUAUAAUGACAUAUCUUUUUAUUUGAAUUUUUUGUUUCAAGUAUUAUACGAUUUUUCCUGCAUAGUUAAUUUUUGUUAAUACUAAACAUCUCUAAUUUUAAGUUCAGAGAUGCCUAUUUUCUUAUUAUAGGGGCCAAAUUGCAAUGUACUUGUGAAAUUAUGUGAUUAUGAGCAACACUUUUAAAAAAUAUAUAGUUGGGUGUGAUUUGGAAUAUUUAAUUGAUUUGCCUGUUAAUCCAAAAAUUUACUGAGCACCUACCAUGUACCAGUAACUAUAUUAGAUGGAGAACAGAAAGAGAAAUGGACUUUGUUAUUAUGGAUCUCAUACUCUAAUCACAAAAUCCCUUUAGCAUAAAAGGUCAUUGUGAAUAUUUUUCUGUUAAAAUAUUAACUCAGAAAUAUGUACCUAGACGUAAUAAUAAGCCUCUUUAUUUGUUUAAAAGUGUCAUGAGAGUAAAAAGUUACAUAUCAAGUUCUUUUUUUUUUUUAAUCCAAGCUUUUUCUUUUUGGGGGAUAGAGGGAGUAGGUAGGAAAAUUGUUCCUUCAAGGUAAUAUUCCAUAAAGGUUUUUGUACCUUUGGAAUUUAAAUAUGAAAAAAUGAGUGUGUCUAGCUUGAUACCUACCAUAGUAGAAUCCAUCUCACCUCAUGGCUCCAAAAGUAAAGAAAAGGAUAUAAAUUAAAUUUAAAGGAUAAAUUAAAUUUAAAACAUUGAAGUUAUAUUUCCAUGCCAGACGAUGACAAAACUGGGUAUGGAAUUGUCAGUUGGAUGUUUUCUUGUUUCAUGAUUAUUUAUGCAGCUGUUACUUAGCUGACAUUAGUUCCUAGUUGAAUGUUGAAACAAAUAAUGCAUCUGAUUAGGUAUACCCAGAAUGUAUGUUAUGGGGUUGUUUUGUGACACGUAGGUGUCGUGUUAUUUUCCUCUGUAUGAUACUUGUUUAAUGAGAGAUUAUGCCAGUAGCAAUUAGAGAACUGUUUCUUGAACUGUUUUUGUUUUAUACAGCACCAAAUACAACAUCGGUGAAAUUAGAGUUUGUUGGAGAGGGGCAAGCCCCUCCUCUGCUUACUCCCUCCCUGUGGGGCUUCUCCCAGGCUGCUCUCCAGACUCCCAAACUCACAGCAGCUGGGAUGUGGAGACAUGACUGAUGCGGAGGGACAGGGGAUGCCCUGGCCUCUGGUGUCAGCUUCCAACUACACAUUAUGCACUGGCCUUCCGAAAAAUGUAUUUUCUCUUAUUGUGAAGGGAAAAAAAAAUCUCUUUCAUUAUGGCUUUCAAUUUUAUUCAACCGAUAGGCAGGUGAAAAAUUGAAAUACAUCACAAUUGCUGGUGAAUUAAAACAAGAUCAGAGUAUUGCUUGCAAAGUAUGUUGGCACUGUUGUAGAUUUGCUCUUUUCUUUCUCUUUUUUUUUUU
Molecule: long non-coding RNA, 2853 nt
Organism: Orcinus orca (killer whale)
Lineage: Eukaryota; Metazoa; Chordata; Mammalia; Artiodactyla; Delphinidae
Exons: 2
Source: RefSeq, a predicted model, not a curated record